Molecule: small nucleolar RNA, 130 nt
Organism: Bufo bufo (common toad)
Lineage: Eukaryota; Metazoa; Chordata; Amphibia; Anura; Bufonidae
Source: RefSeq, a predicted model, not a curated record
CCGCACAUAUCAUUGACUUUGCUUUCCUUGUGGAGCAAGGUUAUUUCUGGUGUGCCAGAGCAAUCUGAAGGCUAAUUAGCAGUGUAACUCCUCCACCCUAGUUACUGCUGCCAGUCUCCUUCAAACAUUU